This 561-nucleotide ribosomal RNA is filed under the name Triticum aestivum (bread wheat). RNAcentral describes it as "partial small subunit ribosomal RNA". The record is from RNAcentral. Lineage: Eukaryota; Viridiplantae; Streptophyta; Magnoliopsida; Poales; Poaceae.
AUGCGUGUGCUGGACUUGGGCGUCUAUGAUGCAGUUCUCGGUGUCGACCGACUAGCACAACAUAGCCCCAUGAAGUGUGAUUGGCAGUUGAAAACAAUGCAAUUCGAGUGUGAUGGGACGGCAGUGCACCUACAGGGAGUUCGAUCGGAUGAAUCACCAACCCUUACUGCUCUGGAUGCCGCUACUCUUUGGCAAAUGCAUGAUGCAAACGAGGUUUGGGGGGCUGCUUUAAUAGAACUCCAAGUGGCACCAAUACCAGAUUCAACAACAACUCAACCACCACCAACUGUGAUCCAACGCAUUCUGACGGAGUUCAGUGAUGUCUUUGCUGAACCUACAAGAUUACCUCCCCACCGUCAAUAUGACCAUGCUAUCACUCUAGAACCGGGGGCCACACCAAUCAACUGUCGGCCGCACCAUUAUUCUCCGUUGCAGAAAGACGAGAUAGAGCAUCAGGUUAAGGAAAUGAUGCGGACAGGGAUCAUUACUCAUAGUAUGAGUCCCUACGCCGCGCCUGUGCUCCUGGUGAAAAAGAAGAUGGGACUUGACGCUUCUGCGUAG